This 4899-nucleotide unclassified non-coding RNA is filed under the name Hevea brasiliensis (rubber tree). Lineage: Eukaryota; Viridiplantae; Streptophyta; Magnoliopsida; Malpighiales; Euphorbiaceae. The record is from RNAcentral.
GCUUAACCAAAGUAGUAUUCAUCAAAAUAGAAUGCUAAAACAAAAGUAACCAAGAAACCUUAAAAACAGAUACAUGGCGAAAUGCUUAGCAAGUACACCUGUAUAUUACACAACCAAAAACAUAUAACUAGGUUCAUACUAUCAAGAACUGGAAAAAUGAAGGAAUAAACAUUAACAAAUGCCCAACAAAUGGCAAAAUUUGCACUAAUUACAUUUCAAAAAGCCAAGGCUGCAGCUACAUAUCUACAAUUUUCUUUUUAGAAACAUAAAAGGAUCUACGAAGCCAAACGAAAACCCAAAAUAGGUACCGCAUCAACUGUUCCCUUCUUUUGUAAUCGGAUCCCGAGUUUUAUCAUCAUCGGAACAUGGCCCAUCCAGAUCACUAGGUCUACCUCCCAACACACUGUCAAAAUCGUCACAACUGCCCACUACGUUUGCAUCACCAUGUCUUACAAUGCCCUCAGACAAAGAAACCAAGCUAAUAGUGGCCAUGCUAUUCGCAAUAGCUUCUACAUCGCUGGAGCCACCAUAGAGUCCACGGCUUCCAGUCACAUGUAUGCCUUUUUUCUCAUCAGCAUUGGUCAAUGCUACAGGGAAGACAUCCAUCAACUGAGGGUUACCUUGGGUUGAACUACUAAUGAGUAGUCGCAGAGUCUCUCUUGCACCCUUCUCUACCACGGAAUCAGUUUCAGGAAUCAAUGAGUUGACGAGUUUUUGGUGCAGUGGGGAAAUAGCGCUCGACAUAGUAGGACCAGCACUCACCAGGUAACCUUGACCCGAUGAGCAAACAUCAAUUACUGGGAUAUGAACAAUUGGAUCGCACAUCAAUGGGGUGAAGGUUGGGAUCUGCUUAGAACCGGGCAUUGGCAAUCGAAGCAUUGGGUCUGGCAGCAAAGGAGGAAAAUCUAUCGAGGGAACAUCAGACAGACUGAGAGGUGGUGUUGGAGUUAAAAGACUGGAGGACCUGGCAGCUGACAAUAAUGAAGAAAGUGGUGGAAGCAAGGGGGAUUCGAUUGAUGAGGUAGUGAGUUGUGGAGAAGCUGAAGGAUACUGCAUAGUUGAUGGACCUUGGGGGCACCAACAAUAGUAAGGAGAGACAAGAGGUGGACUUGAGGAAGUUACAUGGAAUACUGAACUUGGAGUUGGGGAGAUGGCCAAUUUCCCCAGGGAUUCAAUAAAACUUGAUGGCACCAUAGGGCAACUCUUAAUUGCAUGCAGUUCUUCAUUAUCAGACUGAUUAGAGCUUGAUGCAUCGUUAUCACGCGGCAAUGCAAUCAUCAGGUUGUCAACAGAUGAGAAGUGGCUAUCCCCGCGACGCUUUAACUUUUCUCUGGCAGCAGCACAUUUUAAAGAAGACAAACUUCUAGACAGGCCCUCUUUGAAAGAACUUGAUCUUGGACUGAGGCUUUCCUGAUAAGAUGAAUUUGCUUUCAUAGCCUGGCUGCCAAUGGGUCGGGAACGCCGAGACUUGGAAGAUAGGGAAGAUGUUGCAUCAGAGAGGUCAAGAUUGAUGCCUGACGAAGAGGCAGGUAUGCAUGCUACACUUUCUCGGGUGUUACUUCCUAGAAGAUAGGAGCGGAGGUGAAUUGCAAAGCAAUCAAGUCGUGAGUUGCUAAUUCCAGUUAAUACUGCAAUAGAUGGUCUCCUCUCGAGUACAUCUUUCAUCUUGGCAAUCAAUUCAAUACCCAAGAGCUUCGACUUCUCUGAGCACCAGAAGUAAUAAUCUCUACCAUCUGCUAUCUUUAUAAGGAAAGAUCGCCCAGAACUGUCUGCUAAGAUCUCCUCAACUGUGACAGCAGGACUAAGUGGUUUACUGCUUAGGGUGAAUAGUCUUUCCGUGUUACCAUUAUCUCCAAUGAAUGAGAGACGCAAAUCAGACGUCGGCAGCAUUGUAAGAUUUAAAUUUCCCCUGCAACAAUUCAGGAAAAAAGCGUAAGCAUAAAUUACUUUAGAAGCAUUGAAUAGCAAAACUGAAAAGCAUUACAAAGAAAAAAUUGAACCAAAAAGCAAGCAACAGGAAACAGAACCAAAGAUGAAGUCACAAAUAACAGUAUUUUCAAAUGCACUAUCCCUAUUGUGGCUCGAUUUAUAUUAUGGAGCCUAACAUUCCCCAGAAAAUUACCAUACAUCUUAUCAAAAACCAAGAGCAGCUGAAAUUGUCAAUAUAAUAAACAGUAAAAGACAAUGCAAAUAAAUAAAUUAGUAAAUCAAUAUAAGUGCCAACCAAGGGAACACACAAAACUUGAUGAUGGGACACAGAACCUAGAGCUAACACCUGUCCAGUGCAAAUCUUCUCAAUUACUCCAACUUUCCAAGUCUUCAACUAAAAGCAUGUCUAAUAACCAAAGUCAUAACAGUAUUAGAUAAGCAAACAAUUUUAGCCUUUUCCUAGAUAUCAUUUUUAACAUCUACAGCACACUAACUGUAUAAAGUAUGAACUAGAGUUGAGUAUUAGGCCUAAGAUCCUGACUUCACCCUAUUUCAUCUUUAAUUAUGUUUUGUAAUUUAAAAAAACAAAACUUUAGUUCUACAUAGAGGCUCUUAGGCCUAAUACAUUGGCAAAAGUGAUGGCCAGUGUCAAAUUCAGCCAUUUCUCAUGAUAUUGAUCCUUAUGAAAAGUCCCCAAACAUAUAAACAAAUUCAUAACCACAGAACAAGGUUAGAAAAGACGAAUAACAUGUAUUAAAGAAUAUAAUGGCAUGAUAUGAAAAAGUACACAACUGAAACCAUAAAGAACGUAGAAUAUAGCAAGAACUCAUCAUUUCAGAUACAAAGAAAGACCCUUUACACCCAGUUCCUACUUAAGUUUUAAAAUUAUCCUAUCAAUUCAAAAAACAACAGCAAUUUAUAUAAUCACAUAAUGUAGGAGAUGAAACUACCUUUACUUCCUCAUAAUUCAGAGAUCAUAAUAGAAUACGCCCACUUUACCUACAAGUCAAAAGAUAUUUUUACUUGGAAGCAUGAACAUUAUCACCGUUAUAAAGCUAAAACAUAGAAUCCUGCAAUCUCUACUAUUCAUGAACGACAGAAUAUAUACACUUUCCACCAGUAGUGUUCACUAGCAGAAAAAGGUCACAUCAAUUCGGUAGGAAACCCCUCUAAACAACUAAUAUGAGAGGUAACAAAACCAUUUCAGUUCAUGACCAAGGAAAAACCAGUUGACCAAUCUUUACGACGUCUCCUGGCACGAUAAUGCAACCCCAAGCUAUAAAAGAGGAUGUAGAAGCCACAAUUAUAAGAAACAAGUAUAUUGAAUCCAUCAAACAAAUUUGCAUCUUUUCAUGAAAUCCAAAAUAAGUUCAAAGAACAAGUACAAAAAAUUUUACAAAUUGAUUUCAAGUUAGAUGAUAAUAGAGAACAAUAAUAAUAGUAUUAAAAGCACAAAAUAUAUUAUGAAAAUACAGUAUCGCACAAGCAAUAAAACACAAACAGAACUGAUCUUCACAAAAAAAUCAAGGGACACCCUAUAUCUGAUACAAAUAUCUUCAAACUUACAGGUACAUUAACAUGGGUGAUAUACUGCAAAAUAUCAGAACAUCACUAACAUCAUAUAUAAUCUAAUCAGCUGCCUGCAUAGAAUAUUGGAAUCAUAACUCUUUAAAACAUUAUUUGAAUGAGAUCAUAUAAAUGAAUCAACUUAGAUUGUACAGUGAAAGAAGCAAAAGAUUGUGCGUAUGUUGCCUGACACCCUAGGAUCAGUGGCAGAUGUACCCCUCUUUUUUAGAAAAAUGUAUAUGUGUCGAAAUUGACCCUCAUAGAUUCCAUUAUUAAAUUACACACACACACACACACUCCCUCGUAUCCCUCCCUCAUAAAUUUAAUUCUUAAUAAUUUUCAAAGUAUUAGACCUUAUCAUAUACAAUUGUAAGAACAUUUUUUAAUAGUAUUUUGUUAUAUUUUUUGUAUGUUGACACCAUUAAAAAUUUUUCUGGAUCAGCCACUGCCUAGGAACAUAUAAUUAUGCCAGUCUGGUCACAUACAAAAACAAAGAACCAAAAAUGCAAUCAAACAAGUUAAAUAAUUGAGAUCAUACAAAUAAAUGUAGAGUAUAACUCUCCCCAAGGCCCCAGUCACAUCCCAAUACUUAUAACUCUUAUUCAUGCAUGUCCGAAUCCAAUAACAAAAAUACAUAAAUGCACGUAAACAAAUAAACUGGCGAGCAAACAGGCCAUGACCAUCCAAAUAAACCUCAAUUACCUUGAGGCAGUAGGACAAAGUAGGGUCCCUCGUUUGCUAAUCUUGCCAACACGAAUUGAAACCAGAGGUAUACAGAAACAUCUAGCAAGCAUGCCAACUUCUGAUGGCUCGAAGUGCUGACUCAGAUGGGCCAAAAGGCGAUCUUCGGCCAUCCCACUAGAAGCAUUCUGCUUCAACAACGGCUUUAACCUCUCAUCGGCUCUACAAGCCCCCAUGACCUGCAUAUCCAAAGCCUGUAACCACUGCAAAACCCUAUCUUCACGAUCGCUCUGUUGGAGUAGCAGAUCUCCUUCACCAUCUUCCACUAGAAUAUCCGCCAACCGCUCCGUCAACCCAAUCUCGCUCCUUCCAGGCGAAACGGCAACAGAUCCAACCGUGGAGGUCUCAACACCGCUAGAAACGGACGAUGAAUCCUGGAAAUCGUCGCCGUUGGAUCGCUCCGCUCGAUCGUCACAGAAUUCUUGCUUUCUAUAGUUCCCCAUGGCAAAAAAUCUCUCAAAAUUCAACAAAACAGAUUGAAAUUCGUUACCCUGAAACUCCAAAUUAUCGUAAAAAGAUGAAAAGUAGAAAUGUUCGAAUCUCAAUCUUUAAGAAAUGAAAAAGAAUUCUUCUGAAUCGGAGUGAAAUUUAGCAAGAAGAAAGAGAGAAUAAAGAGAAUAUAUCAAAUACAGAGAAGCAGCAGGCGGCUGUGCUUAAAAAUAG